RNAcentral lists this ribosomal RNA (253 nucleotides) under uncultured bacterium. RNAcentral describes it as "partial 16S ribosomal RNA". It matches the Rfam family "Bacterial small subunit ribosomal RNA", at positions 524 to 776 of the family's 1533-position model. The record is from RNAcentral.
UACGUAGGGUGCAAGCGUUAAUCGGAAUUACUGGGCGUAAAGCGUGCGCAGGCGGUUCUGUAAGUCCGUCGUGAAAUCCCCGGGCUUAACCUGGGAAUUGCGAUGGAGACUGCAAGGCUAGAAUCUGGCAGAGGGGGGUAGAAUUCCACGUGUAGCAGUGAAAUGCGUAGAGAUGUGGAGGAACACCGAUGGCGAAGGCAGCCCCCUGGGUCAAGAUUGACGCUCAUGCACGAAAGCGUGGGGAGCAAACAGG